Molecule: small RNA, 125 nt
Filed under: Anaerosporomusa subterranea
Lineage: Bacteria; Bacillati; Bacillota; Negativicutes; Acetonemataceae
Description: Anaerosporomusa subterraneum c-di-AMP sequence
Rfam family: c-di-AMP riboswitch aptamer (ydaO/yuaA leader)
About the family: This family represents a conserved RNA structure found upstream of the ydaO and yuaA genes in Bacillus subtilis and related genes in other bacteria.
Source: Rfam by way of RNAcentral
AUCUUAACAAUGCCGAAUCCGAAAGGUACGGGGGAACCAACAUUGGGGUGAAGCAUGGAACCAUGCGGGGUCAGCCUUUGGCCCUAACCCGACAGCUAACCUCGAAGGCAGAGAAAGGCGGAUUC